AAAUUGAAGAGUUUGAUCAUGGCUCAGAUUGAACGCUGGCGGCAGGCCUAACACAUGCAAGUCGAACGGUAACAGGAAGCAGCUUGCUGCUUUGCUGACGAGUGGCGGACGGGUGAGUAAUGUCUGGGAAACUGCCUGAUGGAGGGGGAUAACUACUGGAAACGGUAGCUAAUACCGCAUAACGUCGCAAGACCAAAGAGGGGGACCUUCGGGCCUCUUGCCAUCAGAUGUGCCCAGAUGGGAUUAGCUUGUUGGUGGGGUAACGGCUCACCAAGGCGACGAUCCCUAGCUGGUCUGAGAGGAUGACCAGCCACACUGGAACUGAGACACGGUCCAGACUCCUACGGGAGGCAGCAGUGGGGAAUAUUGCACAAUGGGCGCAAGCCUGAUGCAGCCAUGCCGCGUGUAUGAAGAAGGCCUUCGGGUUGUAAAGUACUUUCAGCGGGGAGGAAGGUGUUGUGGUUAAUAACCGCAGCAAUUGACGUUACCCGCAGAAGAAGCACCGGCUAACUCCGUGCCAGCAGCCGCGGUAAUACGGAGGGUGCAAGCGUUAAUCGGAAUUACUGGGCGUAAAGCGCACGCAGGCGGUCUGUUAAGUCAGAUGUGAAAUCCCCGGGCUCAACCUGGGAACUGCAUCUGAUACUGGCAGGCUUGAGUCUCGUAGAGGGGGGUAGAAUUCCAGGUGUAGCGGUGAAAUGCGUAGAGAUCUGGAGGAAUACCGGUGGCGAAGGCGGCCCCCUGGACGAAGACUGACGCUCAGGUGCGAAAGCGUGGGGAGCAAACAGGAUUAGAUACCCUGGUAGUCCACGCCGUAAACGAUGUCGACUUGGAGGUUGUGCCCUUGAGGCGUGGCUUCCGGAGCUAACGCGUUAAGUCGACCGCCUGGGGAGUACGGCCGCAAGGUUAAAACUCAAAUGAAUUGACGGGGGCCCGCACAAGCGGUGGAGCAUGUGGUUUAAUUCGAUGCAACGCGAAGAACCUUACCUGGUCUUGACAUCCACGGAAGGUCUCAGAGAUGAGACUGUGCCUUCGGGAACCGUGAGACAGGUGCUGCAUGGCUGUCGUCAGCUCGUGUUGUGAAAUGUUGGGUUAAGUCCCGCAACGAGCGCAACCCUUAUCCUUUGUUGCCAGCGGUUAGGCCGGGAACUCAAAGGAGACUGCCAGUGAUAAACUGGAGGAAGGUGGGGAUGACGUCAAGUCAUCAUGGCCCUUACGACCAGGGCUACACACGUGCUACAAUGGCAUAUACAAAGAGAAGCGACCUCGCGAGAGCAAGCGGACCUCAUAAAGUAUGUCGUAGUCCGGAUUGGAGUCUGCAACUCGACUCCAUGAAGUCGGAAUCGCUAGUAAUCGUGGAUCAGAAUGCCACGGUGAAUACGUUCCCGGGCCUUGUACACACCGCCCGUCACACCAUGGGAGUGGGUUGCAAAAGAAGUAGGUAGCUUAACCUUCGGGAGGGCGCUUACCACUUUGUGAUUCAUGACUGGGGUGAAGUCGUAACAAGGUAACCGUAGGGGAACCUGCGGUUGGAUCACCUCCUUA
RNAcentral lists this ribosomal RNA (1542 nucleotides) under Citrobacter sp. CK189. RNAcentral describes it as "bacterial SSU rRNA". It matches the Rfam family "Bacterial small subunit ribosomal RNA". The record is from RNAcentral. Lineage: Bacteria; Pseudomonadati; Pseudomonadota; Gammaproteobacteria; Enterobacterales; Enterobacteriaceae.